Molecule: ribosomal RNA, 311 nt
Filed under: Clostridioides difficile
Lineage: Bacteria; Bacillati; Bacillota; Clostridia; Peptostreptococcales; Peptostreptococcaceae
Description: partial 23S ribosomal RNA
Rfam family: Bacterial large subunit ribosomal RNA
Source: RNAcentral
UCAGGUGGCCGCAGAGAAUAGGCCCAAGCGACUGUUUACCAAAAACAUAGGUUUCUGCUAAGUCGCAAGACGAUGUAUAGGAGCUGACGCCUGCCCGGUGCUGGAAGGUUAAGGGGAUCUGUUAGAGCAAUCGAAGCAGUGAACUUAAGCCCCAGUAAACGGCGGCCGUAACUAUAACGGUCCUAAGGUAGCGAAAUUCCUGGUCGGGUAAGUUCCGACCCGCACGAAAGGCGUAACGAUUUGGGCACUGUCUCAACAACAGACUCGGUGAAAUUGUAAUUCCGGUGAAGAUGCCGGAUACCUGCGACAGG